RNAcentral lists this ribosomal RNA (301 nucleotides) under uncultured bacterium. Its description in RNAcentral is "partial 16S ribosomal RNA". It matches the Rfam family "Bacterial small subunit ribosomal RNA", at positions 509 to 807 of the family's 1533-position model. The record is from RNAcentral.
CAGCCGCCGCGGGAAUACGUAGGUGGCAAGCGUUGUCCGGAAUUAUUGGGCGUAAAGCGCGCGCAGGUGGUUUAAUAAGUCUGAUGUGAAAGCCCACGGCUCAACCGUGGAGGGUCAUUGGAAACUGUUAAACUUGAGGGCAGGAGAGAAAAGUGGAAUUCCUAGUGUAGCGGUGAAAUGCGUAGAGAUUAGGAGGAACACCAGUGGCGAAGGCGGCUUUUUGGCCUGUAACUGACACUGAGGCGCGAAAGCGUGGGGAGCAAACAGGAUUAGAUACCCCGGUAGUCCCUGUCUCUUAUAC